RNAcentral lists this ribosomal RNA (497 nucleotides) under uncultured bacterium. Its description in RNAcentral is "partial 16S ribosomal RNA". It matches the Rfam family "Bacterial small subunit ribosomal RNA", at positions 28 to 507 of the family's 1533-position model. The record is from RNAcentral.
GAUGAACGCUGGCGGCGUGCCUAAUACAUGCAAGUCGAGCGAACGGACGAGAAGCUUGCUUCUCUGAUGUUAGCGGCGGACGGGUGAGUAACACGUGGAUAACCUACCUAUAAGACUGGGAUAACUUCGGGAAACCGGAGCUAAUACCGGAUAAUAUUUUGAACCGCAUGGUUCAAAAGUGAAAGACGGUCUUGCUGUCACUUAUAGAUGGAUCCGCGCUGCAUUAGCUAGUUGGUAAGGUAACGGCUUACCAAGGCAACGAUGCAUAGCCGACCUGAGAGGGUGAUCGGCCACACUGGAACUGGGACACGGUCCAGACUCCUACGGGAGGCAGCAGUAGGGAAUCUUCCGCAAUGGGCGAAAGCCUGACGGAGCAACGCCGCGUGAGUGAUGAAGGUCUUCGGAUCGUAAAACUCUGUUAUUGGGGAAGAACAUAUGUGUAAGUAACUGUGCACAUCUUGACGGUACCUAAUCAGAAAGCCACGGCUAACUACGUG